RNAcentral lists this ribosomal RNA (348 nucleotides) under uncultured bacterium. RNAcentral's name for it is "partial 16S ribosomal RNA". It matches the Rfam family "Bacterial small subunit ribosomal RNA", at positions 338 to 701 of the family's 1533-position model. The record is from RNAcentral.
CCUACGGGAGGCAGCAGUGGGGAAUAUUGGGCAAUGGACGCAAGUCUGACCCAGCAACGCCGCGUGAAGGAAGAAGGCUUUCGGGAUGUAAACUUCUGUUAAGGGGGAAGAGCAGAAGACGGGACCCCGAGAAUAAGCCACGGCUAACUACGGGCCAGCAGCCGCGGUAAUACGGAGGUGGCAAGCGGUGUCCGGAUUUACGGGGUGGAAAGGGCGUGCAGCCGGGAAGACCAGUCAGAUGGGAAAUCCCGCGGCUCAACCGCGGAACUGCCUUUGAAACUGUUUUUCUUGAGUAUCGGAGCGGUAAUCGGAAUUCCUAGUGUAGCGGUUAAAUGCGUAGAUAUUAGG